RNAcentral lists this ribosomal RNA (405 nucleotides) under uncultured bacterium. Its description in RNAcentral is "partial 16S ribosomal RNA". It matches the Rfam family "Bacterial small subunit ribosomal RNA", at positions 28 to 526 of the family's 1533-position model. The record is from RNAcentral.
GAUGAACGCUGGCGGCGUGCCUAAUACAUGCAAGUCGAGCGAAGCGGGGACGGGUGAGUAACACGUGGAUAACCUCCUAUAAGACUGGGAUACCAUCGGGAAACCGGAGCUAUACCCGAUACUUAUGGAAGGAUACACGCUGCAUUAGGUGGUUGGUAAGGUAACGGCUGACCAAGCCAACGAUGAAUGGCCGACCUGAGAGGGUGACCGGCCACACUGGAACUGGAACACGGUCAAGACUCCUACGGGAGGCAGCAGUAGGGAAUCUUCCGCAAUGGGCGAAAGCCUGACAGAGCAACGCCGCGUGAGUGAGGAAGGUCUUCGGAUCGUAAAACUCUUUAAUUGGGGAGGCGGUACCUGAACAGAAAGCCACGGCUAACUACGUGCCAGCAGCCGCGGUAAUAC